AACGAACGCUGGCGGCAUGCCUAACACAUGCAAGUCGAACGAGAAGUUCGGGCCUAGUGGCGCUCGGGGGGGUAACAAGUGGGAACCUGCCCUUAGGUUCGGAAUAACUCCCCGAAAGGGGUGCUAAGAACGGUGAGGGUCUUAGGGCCAAAGAGUUAUGGCGUUUGGCUGGGGCUGGGUUGGAUUAGGUGGUUGGUAGGGUAAAAGCCUACCAAGGGGACGAUGCAUAGCUGGUGUGAGAGGAUGCUCAGCCACACUGGGACUGCGACACGGCCCAGACCCGUACGGAAGGCAGCAGUGGGGAAUAUUGGACGAUGGGCGAAAGCGUGACCCAGCCACGUCGCGUGAGUGAUGAAGGCCUUAGUGUUGUAAAGCUCUUUUACCCGGGAUGAUAAUGACAGUACCGGGUGAAUAAGCUCCGGCUAACUACGUG
RNAcentral lists this ribosomal RNA (433 nucleotides) under uncultured bacterium. RNAcentral's name for it is "partial 16S ribosomal RNA". It matches the Rfam family "Bacterial small subunit ribosomal RNA", at positions 29 to 507 of the family's 1533-position model. The record is from RNAcentral.